GCCCCAAGAUCUGGAUCAAAAGCUCAUGUCUACCAGCCUCGAGAUGUGGGUCACAGGUGUGCCCUCCAUUUCUGGAUUAUAGUUCAUUCCAGAUACAGUCAGGUUGACAACCAAGAAUAGCCAUCACAAUAGGUAUUUUACCCUCAUAUGUGUUUGUGCACCACUUGCAUGUCUAUGUCCUCAGAGGCCAGAAUUGGACAUCAGAUGUCCUGGAACUGGACAGUUACAGUGUAAGCCACCAUGUGGGUGAUGGGAACCAGACUCAGGAACAUUCAGGAAUCAAACACUGGCUGGAAGCACAGCCAGUGCUCCUAACUGCUGAAUCACCUCUCCUGCCCCGGAUUCACUUCUUUUAUUAUAUGUGUAUGUCUGUGUGUGGGUCCGUACAUAUGAGUACAAUGUCUGUGGCGUCCAUAGGAGGGAGUCCAUUCCCUGGAGUUGAAGGGACAGGCUACUGUGAGCUUCCUAAAAUGCAGACUGAGAACCAUGUAUUAAUUGCUGAUCCACCUAUCCAGACCAUAGUUUAGAUUUGUUUAGAUUAGGGCAAUUAUUUGAUUUCUAGUUACAAUUUAGCCAUUCUGUUCAAAAAUAUGUCUGGAAUUGUUCUAGGAGAAGGUGUCAUGGUUUGGACUAUGAAUUGUCUACCAAAACCCACGUGUUGAAGACUCGGUUCCCCAAACAGCUAGUGAUUCCCAUCACUAAAGGGUGGUCAGGAGGGUUCUGUGAUAAUCAGAUAGAUUCCUAACUCAUUGAUGAUUCAUAAUUUGGUGGGAGGACUUCAUUGGGGAUGUGUCUUUGGAAGGUAUAUCUUCUCUCUGACCCCUUCCAGUCUCCUUCUGCUCCCCAGCCUUCCCCAGAUCCAUACUGACUAGGCCAGUGGGCCACACACUGGGACCUCUGACACCAGGAGCCAAACAACACUCUUAAUCUUGUUUUUCUUUGAGAUGUUUUGUCAACAGUAGCAAAAAGUGACCGACAUACUAGGGAUGGCUAGCAACAAACAGCCGGAGUAUACCAUCAAGGGGCGCACAGACCAGCAAGCACACAGAAGACACAGUCAACAACCAUCCAAUGCUUAAUUACAUCCAGGCAUCUGUAAAGGGAAAGACGCAUAUGGUGGGGGUAUCCCACCUCCUGCUGCAUAAGUAAAAACUGAACCUUUGUUGUAUUGUAUCACUGAGAUGUCAUUGUUCCCUUGACACACAUGCCAAGACUGUGGGGCUGCAGUGUGACAGGAGGGACCAUGGAUUAGUUACUUUUCCAUCACCAUAAUCAGCAUUCCCCGAAGACACUGUUGGAGAGAGACAGCAUUUAUUUUGACUCAUGGUUUCAGAGGUUUUUCAGUCCAUCAUGGUGCUUCCUAUGAUGAUGUGACCAGUCCAUGACAACAGGAGCCUACAGGCAGAAGCUGUUGAUGAUGUAUCAGAAUGCAGAGAGCAAACCAGGAAGGAGGCAGAAAUCACAUGACCCACUCAAGGACCUGCUGCAAGUGAUCUACUUCCGGGUCAGGUAGGCACCUCCCAUCAAGUGGAAAGGUAUUCAAAACCUGAGCCGUAGGGGAGGGACAUUUCAGAUGUAAAUCCAAACACAGCAGGUUGGAGCAGAGCUAUCGAGAUAAACUUGUGGCCUGGGAGAGAAGUCUCUGUGCUGGCAGAAUAGAGGUGGAGUGGUAGACAUCUGGGAGGUAGAAGCACUCUGAGUGACUUGAGUUUCUGGCUUGUAUAGCUGGAUAUCCACCCACCACUCAUUCUUUGUUUUACUUAAUGACUCAGUGGGUGAUUGACACUCCAUCCACUACUGGCAGAUGCCCAUAAGCGAGUUGUCCCCAUUUCUUCUUCAACUUAGAAACUGAGAGAACUGAAUGGGUUCCCCGUGAACUCAAGCUCACAAUCUGCCCAGAAGUUUGUCCACUGGUAAGGGACCUCCUCUCUGGGAGAGAGGAGAGAAAAAGUAGGGAGUCAGGGAAAGAGAAAAUAACAAGAAGUCGUACACACGGACCUUGUGCCCAUCCAGCCUGAGCCACUUUAAUUUCUCACCUGGAUCAACAAAGAGGACCUCAGCUUCUGCCCUUUCUCAACUCGGCCAGAGCGAAUCUGCUAAUGCAGCAGUCAGUCAGGCACAGACUAUGUAUAAUUCAGGGUUUCUCAACCUAUGCACCUUCACCACGUGGGCCAGCAUCAUGGGUGAGGGGAAAGAAAUGCUGUCCUUGGAUGUUUAGCAGCAUCUCAAACCUGUGCCUGCUACAGCCACUGUCACACUCAAGGCCUCCUCAUCUGUGACAAGGAGAAUGGGCAGCAAACACGCCAAAUACUCUUUACUCCAGGCAGUCCUGAAAUGCCUUCUCCUCCUUGCAGAGGGACAAUUCAUGAGCACCCUCUCUUCUCUGAUUCCGCCCCUCCCCCACCUCACCCACUCAGCUUCCUUCCUGCGGGCUGACCCUCCGCCUAGCCCUCUAGCUCAUGAGCUGGGGUCUCAGUCUGAGCUGAGGGCCCUGCUGCUCUUGCUUAGGGAGGAUGCCCCGCCCUAAGAUUUCCAAAGAACUCCCUCCAUCAGUAACUUUGGCUUUUGGCUUAAACGUUACCUUCUCGGUGACGCCAACUCAAGGCGCCUCUUAGGAAAUUAAAAUCUCAGUGCGUUCAUUUGCUAGGAUGGAAUGAGUCAGCGCGGGUUGGGUGAGUUAAAGCAAGGAGUGGGUUUUUACACAGAUCUGGAAGCUAGAAGUACAAAGUCGAGGCGCCUGCAGACCUGGUUUCUCCUAAGGCUCUCAUCAGCCGAAGCCCUUGCUUGUCCUUGCUGGGUGUACAGGCAUCCCAGUUUGUCCGUCCCAAUUCCCUCUUCUGUCCAGGACACUCUUUAACCUAGUCACCCAGAGUUCCAGGGCUCUCUGAGAUCUUAGGGUGUUAAGCUUGCACUUGGGAACUUUAGGGGUGUUACCUUCGGCCCGGGACACUCCAAUGGAUCAGCAAUGAUCAAGCUGGCAUUCUGAAUAGUUUACCUUUUCAUCCAGAUUAUGGUGUCUUUCUCUUCCAGGUCUCCACCAGAAUAUCAUAUUCCAUAAAGCCAGGGAUUUUUGUCAAUCGUAUUCACUGCUACAUUCACAGUGCCUAUUAGCACAUGGCAAACACUUGUUAGAAGUGUUACAGACAGGAGCAAGAACUGCUUCUCCACAUACCAGCUGCACCCUUGGGAAAGAUCACUUCUCUAUUCCUCAGCUCCCUCUCUCAGGCUAAGACAACCCAGAGCAUGAACUCUGGUCUAUUAGCAUAGGGAUGCUAACUUCUAGGUUCUCAAGAAAACCCUGUGAGAGAAAAGUUUCCUUUCAACUGCUUCUAAGGGAGGCACAAUUCCAGAACAUCAAGGUGAGGGAGCAGGAAGUGAGGUAAAGGUAGCUGAGAAGUGAGAAGGGGUUGUGGGGAGGUAGUGUCCAGACAACUGGCCCCCACUCCCUUUCAAAGCCAGGUCACACAGAACUUCUCCAGACAGGCCUCACAGAAAGCACUGGCCUGAGAACAGCCUAAGGCAAGAGGGCUCCCUCCAGCCUUGUGCCUCCCAUUAGCUAGAAGUAGCCGCAGGAGAGUUAAUGCCCUUGCAGCAUAAAGGUCUCAGCUGGUUCUUUAAACAGCCUGGAAGGGAGCCAGACCCUUGGCCCUCUGGAGGAAGGCUUCGUCCCAGUCUGGAAGCAGUAGAGCCUGCAGAGGUUGGCCCUAGGCUGCCAUGAGCGAAGGAAGAAGGGUUGAAAAGAGCCAGUUCUUGUUGCCUGUGGACUGGAAAGACCCCAGCCAGGUUGCCACCUUGGACCAUGCUUCCCCUUCAGGGCAGACCUCUCCCUCCAGUCUCCGCCCAGUGUCUCCUGGGAAGCCGUACUAGCAGAUCGCACCACUUGAGCGUUGGGAAGGCUGUCUGCGGAACUGUGCCGGGGAGGUCAAAUGAAAAUGGAGUUUGAGUCAAGCAACAGAAAACACAGGGGAUGGAUGGACUUAGAAGCCAAGGCUGACUUUAAACUCUCCCAUGCUACUACAGGAGACUGGCUACGAACCCAGCACAAUAUCAAAAAGCAAGCAUGCACAGAUAAGACUCUCAUAAAAUGAGCUCAGGCCUAUGAAGCAGUUUCAGGAAUACAACAGCCUCUCCGACUUUGCCUUGCCACUUGACUACUGUGUGUUCUGUGGAGAAACCACUCCGUGCUGAACGGAGCAGCCUUCUACCUCCAGCAGUGACUCUUGUCCUUCUCACACACAGCCCGGAUGAAAACACAACCUGCUUCACACAGCUUGUUUGUUGCUAAGUAACCACUUCUUCCUGGUAUGAGUGUGUGACCACCCUUUCUUACUGCAACUUAAUUGCGUGACCUUAACACUGGAGAAUGGAAUUGGAAUGGGGCAGGCGUGGGGGUGGGGCUUCAUUUCUCAUCACCUACACUGUCUGUUAUUGUCCAUGACCCUGAAGAACAUUUCCUGGGAAAAGGUGAAAAAAGGGAGGGGCAGAGGAAGAACUGAGAACACGAGGGAGGUAGGAGGAAGUCUAAUCUCCACCCAGCCACCCCAGAGACCUCCUGGUGACUGCAUGAGCCAGAGAGCAGACAACAACCUUCUGUCCCCUUUCUCCUUCAAACACUGCUAACCCACGGGUCAAGCAUGAGCAUAGGCUUUGAAGCCAGGAAUAGUCACCUCAACCCUUGCCACAGUCCCAAGGGACACAGAGGCCACCAGCAAUACGGCAGCAAUCUCCUCUUUCAAGAGCAAGAGAGAGAUAAGUAAGAGUUUCCUCUUAGGAGCUCUGUCUCACAUUCACUAUGUCCCUGAAGCUGGGGUCUAUGAGGCUAUUGGUGACUGAUGUUUCCCAGAAUUCCAUAGUCAUGCAGGAACCUGUCACUUCUCUCAGGAAAUCGAAUGGUCUGCCCCUAGAUCACUAUAAGUUAUCCACUACCACCAGCUUUAUAGAGGCAUGAUCAAGAAAUAAAGGUGUGUGUGGGCUGGGGGCAUGGCUCAGCUCAGAGAGAGCUCUUGCAUCUCGUGUGUGAGGAUCUACAUGCUUGUAAUCGCAGCACCAGCAAGAUGGGAGACAGCGACAAGGAAGAUCCUGGAAGUUCCCUACUCGGUGACGUUCCAGACCAAUGAAAGACUGUGUCUCAAACAAAAGAGCUAACACCUAAGGUCAUGCCCCUGACCUCCACGCAUGUGUCAUGCAUGUGCACACUGAACGCACAUUUACCCCUCCCACACCCACACAUGCACCCUCAUCUGCAUAUUCCCACAAGACCGCAUGCAGUUAAGGUGUACAUGUUUUGCUCAGCAUUCUCUACACUCAGUCUGUUUAACACAUCUGUGACCUAGCUAUGUGUGUGUGUGAGAUAAUACCUCACACCUACUCCCUUAACACAUAACAAUGAUGUAACCCUGCAUUAGUAAUAAGUGUGGUCACUUUGCUGUACACUGGUUCUCCAGAAGCCAGUCAUCUCAGAACUGCAAGUCCUCCUGUGUUACCCUUGGAUGAACGUCUCCCCCACUUACCUUACCUCUGAUCCUUAAUAAUUAUCCUUCUGCUCUAUCCUGAGGCUCUGACGUUUUCAGAUUCCACUUCUACAAGGAGAUCGUAUGCCCCGUGCAUUACUCAGUCUUCCCAUUGCUGUGACAGAGGUAAUUUAAGGAGGGGGAGGGGCAUUCUGCUUUAAGAAGAUGUGUAGGGAGGGCUGGAGAGAUGGCUCAGUGGUUAAGAG
Molecule: small RNA, 5716 nt
Filed under: Rattus norvegicus (Norway rat)
Lineage: Eukaryota; Metazoa; Chordata; Mammalia; Rodentia; Muridae
Description: uncharacterized LOC108351293
Source: RNAcentral